CCUACGGGAGGCUGCAGUGGGGAAUAUUGGGCAAUGGGCGCAAGCCUGACCCAGCAACGCCGCGUGAAGGAAGAAGGCUUUCGGGAUGUAAACUUCUUUUCUGAGGGACGAAGAAAGUGACGGUACCUCAUGAAUAAGCCACGGCUAACUACGUGCCAGCAGCCGCGGUAAUACGUAGGUGGCAAGCGUUAUCCGGAUGUAUUGGGUGUAAAGGUCGUGUAGGCGGGAAAGCAAGUCAGAUGUGAAAACUCAGGGAUCAACCCUGAGCCUGACUUUGAAACUGUUUUUCUUGAUUGCUGUAGAGGCAAUCGGAAUUCCGGGUGUAGCGGUGAAAUGCGUAGAUAUACGGAGGAAGACGAGUGGCGAAGGCGGAUUGCUGGACAGUAACUGAGGCUGAGGCGCGAAAGCGUGGGGAGCAAACAGGAUUAGAUACCCUGGUAGUC
Molecule: ribosomal RNA, 443 nt
Filed under: uncultured bacterium
Lineage: Bacteria
Description: partial 16S ribosomal RNA
Rfam family: Bacterial small subunit ribosomal RNA
Source: RNAcentral